RNAcentral lists this ribosomal RNA (665 nucleotides) under uncultured bacterium. RNAcentral's name for it is "bacterial SSU rRNA". The stretch from base 1 to 512 matches the Rfam family "Bacterial small subunit ribosomal RNA", at positions 338 to 873 of the family's 1533-position model. The record is from RNAcentral.
CCUACGGGAGGCAGCAGUAAGGAAUAUUGGACAAUGGUCGCAAGACUGAUCCAGCCAUGCCGCGUGAAGGAUGAAGGCCCUAUGGGUUGUAAACUUCUUUUGUAUGGGAAAAAACCCUUCUACGUGUAGAAGGCUGAUUGUACCAUAAGAAUAAGGAUCGGCUAACUCCGUGCCAGCAGCCGCGGUAAUACGGAGGAUCCAAGCGUUAUCCGGAUUCAUUGGGUUUAAAGGGUGCGUAGGCGGAAUGAUAAGUCAGUGGUGAAAUCCUGCAGCUUAACUGCAGGACUGCCAUUGAUACUGUCAAUCUUGAGUACAUUUGAUGUGGGCGGAAUGUGUCAUGUAGCGGUGAAAUGCUUAGAUAUGACACAGAACACCGAUUGCGAAGGCAGCUCACAAAACUGUAACUGACGCUGAGGCACGAAAGCGUGGGUAUCAAACAGGAUUAGAUACCCUGGUAGUCCACGCUGUAAACUAUGAUUACUCGUAUGUUGUGAGUACACUAGUAGUACGUCGUAGACGAAGAACGAGUAAGUUAAGUUACGUACCGUUACGGGUUAGGUACGGCGUUCGCGAGAGUUAGAACGUUACGAAGUUAGAAGUUAGUUACGGCGGUUGAGGACGUUACGGACCGAACGGACGACGACGACGGGGAACGGUUAAGGAAG